This 305-nucleotide ribosomal RNA is filed under the name uncultured bacterium. RNAcentral describes it as "bacterial SSU rRNA". It matches the Rfam family "Bacterial small subunit ribosomal RNA", at positions 334 to 636 of the family's 1533-position model. The record is from RNAcentral.
UUUUCCUACGGGAGGCAGCAGUGAGGAAUAUUGGUCAAUGAGCGAGAGCCUGAACCAGCCAAGUCGCGUGAGGGAAGACGGUCCUAUGGAUUGUAAACCUCUUUUGCCGGGGAGCAAGGGCGGGGACGUGUCCCGGCCCGGAGAGUACCCGGGGAAAAAGCAUCGGCUAACUCCGUGCCAGCAGCCGCGGUAAUACGGAGGAUGCGAGCGUUAUCCGGAUUUAUUGGGUUUAAAGGGCGCGUAGGCGGGCUUUUAAGUCAGCGGUAAAAAUUCGGGGCUCAACCCCGUCCGGCCGUUGAAACUGG